GACGACCGCUGGCGGUGUGCUUAACACAUGCAAGUCGAACGGUAAGGCCCUUUCGGGGGUCCACGAGUGGCGAACGGGUGAGUAACACGUGAGUAACCUGCCCUCAUCUCUGGGAUAACAGUCGGAAACGGUUGCUAAUACUGGAUAUGAGCUUGCAAGGCAUCUUGUGGGUUGGAAAGAUUUUUUUUGGUUGGGGAUGGACUCGCGGCCUAUCAGCUUGUUGGUGAGGUAGUGGCUCACCAAGGCUUCGACGGGUAGCCGGCCUGAGAGGGCGACCGGCCACAUUGGGACUGAGAUACGGCCCAAACUCCUACGGGAGGCAGCAGUGGGGAAUAUUGCACAAUGGACGGAAGUCUGAUGCAGCAACGCCGCGUGCGGGAUGACGGCCUUCGGGUUGUAAACCGCUUUCAAUUGUGACGAAGCUUUUUUGUGACGGUAGCAGUAGAAGAAGCACCGGCUAACUACGUG
RNAcentral lists this ribosomal RNA (468 nucleotides) under uncultured bacterium. RNAcentral's name for it is "partial 16S ribosomal RNA". It matches the Rfam family "Bacterial small subunit ribosomal RNA", at positions 28 to 507 of the family's 1533-position model. The record is from RNAcentral.